Molecule: unclassified non-coding RNA, 184 nt
Filed under: uncultured fungus
Lineage: Eukaryota; Fungi
Also listed under: 1 other name
Description: sequence contains ITS1, 5.8S rRNA gene
Source: RNAcentral
AUGCGCUCCCGGGCAUGAUCGGUCAGAAAUGGCCCGUUAUGCUUCGGUCAAUCGCCAUCCUUGUGUAGUAUAUAAUUGUUGCUUUGGCGGGCCGCCCUUUGGGCACCGGCUUCGGCUGGCCCGCGCCCGCCAGAGGACCCUAAACUCUAUAUGUUAGUGAUGUCUGAGUACUAUAUAAUAGUUA